This is a long non-coding RNA of Lynx canadensis (Canada lynx), 311 nucleotides long. RefSeq lists it as uncharacterized. NCBI's taxonomy places the organism in Eukaryota, Metazoa, Chordata, Mammalia, Carnivora, Felidae. The record is from RefSeq and is a predicted model, not a curated record. The transcript is spliced from 3 exons.
AUAAAAUAAACUGAAAACAAUACAAGUAAAUGGAAAGGUAUCUGUGUUCAUAGUUGAAAGAAUUAAUAGUGUUAAAAUGUCAAUAGUACCAAAAGCAUAGAUUUAAUACAAUGCCUACCAAUAUUCCAAUGACAUUUUUCACAGCAUUAGAAAAAACACUCCUAACAUUUAUAUAGAACCACAAGACUCCAAAAAGUCAAAGAAAUCCUGAGAAAGAAAAAUAUAGCCGGAGGUAUCACACUUCAUCAUUUCAAGCUAUACUAGAAAGGUAUAGCCAACAAAACAGGAUGGUAUUGGCAUAAAAACAGACA